UGGCAGCAUAAGAAAAAGAAGAAAAAAAGUGCAUAGAAUUCUGCCUUGAACAUCACUGUCCACGGGCUGCCUUCAAAAGACAGAAGGGCUCUACCACGGAAUGCCUGUUUCAGAUUUAAAAAAUAACCUGCUGAGAUAUGCUGGCAGGGCUUCCUUCAGCAGCCACAAGAAGCUUCUCAGGUGAGAAGAAACCCACUGCUGUUAGCACUAUAGAUUUCUUUAAGGUCACAGGCCUCUUCCAAUUAGGGGUAUCAUCCAUCUCUGGUGGCCUUUCCCUCCUGAAGCUGGGGAAAUAUUUCCUCCCCCUCCAACCCAUUUACCACCCGCUCCAUAUAACCGCCUUGAAGACCUCUUUGGGCUUGAAGAAUAACUUAAGACAGUUUUCCUAUUGAGUGCUGAACAUUUGCCUCCCCCUCCCCCUCCAGCCUGUCACUCUUUCCGGGCUUGUGACUGCUUCAGAAUUGUGAACUUCAAAUUUCCCCACUGUUUUGUUGAUCCUGGGCUUUUGAUUCAAGGGCCUGUCUGGCAGGAGAUGGCCUAAGCACAUCAGCAAUAGCAGAUGACAAAUGCCAAAACAGAAAGAAAAUAGGAUACAAAUGAUUUCCUCCUACAUAUUUACAUUUACCUGCUCCAGAGAUUGUGCAUUUGGGGUUCUACCCGUUAUUAAGUAGGAGCCUACGUUAUGCCUAUAAUGACCUCAUCAUGCUGCGUGAUUAUGGGCUGCAGCCGCCAAACACUUUCAGACGACACUGUGAACUUUAAAUUGGCACUCCAAUCUCCCAGUGGCCUGUCAGUCAUGAGAAUCGCGUCUUUAUGCCAGCAAGCCCCUUGGAUGGAGUCUGACAUUGCAAUCUUCAGUAAAUUACCCUGUCACUGACAAUCUUGCAGUUAUCUCGCAAACAAUCAAGCAGGCAAUCAAACUGUUCUGAAUUGCCAGUUCAGGACCUGAGAGGUGGCCGAUGUCUCCAUUCAACAGCAGAGGGAAAGCGGCCUGGCCCUCCUAUGACAAUGGACGAUUUCUUUAUUUAUUUAUCUACCUACUUAUUUGUUAGUCUGGUUGGCUUUUUCCUGGGGAAGGGGGUGAGGAUGGUAGGAGAGGUUUGCAGAGUCCUCAAAAAGGGCCCAAUACUGACUCAGCGGUUAUGGGAAAGCGACUUAGGCCUUCUGAAUCAGCCCACACUGCGGUGGCUCAUGUCUGCUUAAUCUUACUUCACUCAGUGAAACGGGGCCAAAAAGAAUUAUCUAGGUGUUUUCUGUCAGAACGGACGCUAAAUCACAGCUCUGGUUCUAGUCUACUCAUACACGUCAUAAGCUAAUUGUAAUGACAAUUUCAGAGAAAUGUGAUCAUGGAGAAACUUUCUGGGAAUGAUACCAAGGCAUUCUAUUUAUUGCUUUUGAUAAAGCAAAUCAGAGAGAUUCUUCCAUAACAGUUCUGGCAACGUGAAACAGGUUCAUUAAUGCUGAAUUGAAACCUUUGGAUUAGAAGUCCCAAGGUAAAAAGCCAAAAAUUCUACACAGCAUCAGAGGUGACAGCCUGGCCUCUGGAAUCAGAUGGAUUUGGGUUUGAAGCUCGUCUCUGCUAGUUCCCUGGCUGUGUGAGCUUGGAAAGGAGGGGUGACGCUUCCUUCCCCAAGGAAGUCUGAAGACAAGGCAGUGGACACCCAUCAACAGGGGAAAGAGAAAAUGAAUGAAUGGGAGCUCUGUAAACCACAUCAGCAACCUCGAAAAUGUCCAACUGCAAAGACCCAUGUCUACAAAUUGCUGUCAGCCAGAGGAAUGGCUGUAACUUCCUUGGUGCCGAGAGAUGGGAUUUCACUAUGUUGGCCAGACUGGUCUCGAACUCCUGACCUCGUGAUCCGCCCGCCUUGGCCUCCUGAAGUGCUGGAACUAUAGGCGUGAGCCACCGUGCCCGGUCAAGAUAAUUUCUUAUAGGACAACAGGACAGGAUCACCCAGGAAAAGAUGGACUCCCUGCUCAGUUCCUACUUACAGUAUCUGAGUCACUUAACUAAAUGCAAUCGGCCCAGCUGCAGGCACCACUGCUCGGGCCACUAUAAGAACCAGCCCCUGAGCUUCCGGACAGGAAACAGCAUCUGCAUUUCCAGACUGUAGCAGCUCAUCAUGCCAGGCUCCACAGGCAAGAAUCAAGCAGAUGGAAGCUACAGAGGAAACAAACAGGGUU
Molecule: long non-coding RNA, 2181 nt
Filed under: Homo sapiens (human)
Lineage: Eukaryota; Metazoa; Chordata; Mammalia; Primates; Hominidae
Description: novel transcript
Source: RNAcentral